This 757-nucleotide long non-coding RNA is filed under the name Leguminivora glycinivorella. RNAcentral describes it as "uncharacterized LOC125236484". Lineage: Eukaryota; Metazoa; Arthropoda; Insecta; Lepidoptera; Tortricidae. The record is from RNAcentral.
UGGCUAAUCAGAAUAACAACAGUGUUUCCAAUAGGAUUUAUUAAGACAACACAGAGCUAUACACAAGUUUAGACGUUUAGAAUCUGAAUUUAUAUUUUCGUUAGUCAGACACACAAACACUGCUUAUUCAACAACAACUACGAACAAUAUAUUUAAUCUUAUAAUUAAAUCUUAAAACCCUAAAGACUAAAACUAACACAAGCAGGUUAUAACUAAAUAUAAAAAACCCCCUCAGAUCCCCUGCCUCCGGCAUAGACCCAAGAAUGCUUGCGGCGUUUCCCCUUUGCACCGCCAGACUCAACCUCUGAGCAAAGAAGGAACCGGCUAUUUGGUGACACCUUUUUAAUAAAAUUUUUGGACAAGUUUAGAAAAAUAGUCUUUAUGUAUUAAUGUGGUCUAGUAACACUAAUGCCAUAGGACACGGCAAGGAAGUGAAGAAGUGGCAGCAUGGGCACACAUUGGGCAGACACAAUAACGUCUCUGACAAAGACCACUGCAGGCUAGCAUGCACCGGGCCCAGGAUUGAGUGGCGUGAAGAACACUGGUAAAGAAUGGCCUCAUUCGUCAUGUCCCUCAGCCACAAGGAUACAACAAAGAAGAAGAGAAUUAUUCUUCUAAAAUUUACUUCUGCAGCUCAUUAAUUUCCAUUUUCGACUCUGCUACUUUUUCAACCGGCCGCUUUCAUUUUGGUUUACCUAUAACAAAGUAAUGUUUUAGAAUAGUACUGCAUAAAAACAAUAAAAAAAUUGUUCACAAA